AGCCCGACGAUGAGGCCUGGAACGGGAGCCAAGCGUGGAGGCCUCAUGAUGCGACACCCUGGCAUGCAUUAUGCUCCUAUGGGAAUGCACCCUAUGGGUCAGAGAGCAAAUAUGCCACCUGUACCUCAUGGAAUGAUCCCUCAGAUGAUGCCCCCUAUGGGAGGACCACCAAUGGGACAAAUGCCUGGAAUGAUGUCUUCAGUUAUGCCCGGGAUGAUGAUGUCGCAUAUGUCUCAGGCUUCCAUGCAGCCUGCUUUACCACCAGGAGUAAAUAAUAUGGAUGUAGCAGCAGGUACUACAUCUGGUGCAAAAUAAAUGGGACAGAACAUAAAUCACCUGAUGGAAGGACUUACUAUUACAAUACUGAAACAAAGCAGUCUACUUGGGAGAAACCAGAUGAUCUUAAAACACCUGCUGAGCAACUGUUAUCUAAAUGGAAGGAAUACAAAUCUGAAUCUGUAAAGUCUUACUAUUACAAUUCUCAAACAAAAGAAUCACGCUGGACCAAACCUAAAGAACUUGAGGAUCUUGAAGCGAUGGUCAAAGCUGAGGAAAGCAGUAAGCAAGAAGAGUCCACUACUACAUCAGCAGCCCCUGUUCCUACAACAGAAAUUUCGACCACAAUGAGCACUAUGGCUGCUGCAGAAGCAGCUGCUGCAGCCGCCGCCAAUGCCAAUACUUCCACUUCUACUUCAAAUACUGUCGGUGGAACAGUUCCAGUUGUUAGUGAACCUGAAGUCACUUGCAUUGUUGCUACUGUUGUUGAUAAUGAUAAUACAGUAAAUAUUUCAACUGAAGAACAAGCACAACUUUCUAGUAGUACCCCUGCUAUUCAAGAGCAAAGUGUUGAAGUAUUCAGUAAUACAGAAGAAACCUCUAAGCAGGAAACUUUAGCUGACUUUACUACCAAAAAAGAAGAGGAAGAAAGCCAGCCACCCAAAAAGACUUAUACCUGGAAUACAAAGGAAGAAGCAAAGCAGGUCUUUAAAGAAUUAUUAAAAGAAAAGAGAGUACCAUCUAAUGCUUUGUGGGAGCGAGCUAUGAAAAUGAUCAUUAAUGACCCACGAUACAGUGCUUUAGCAAAGUUAAGUGAAAAGAAACAGGCCUUUAAUGCUUAUAAAGUCCAAACUGAGAAAGAAGAAAAAGAAGAGGCACGAUCAAAAUACAAAAAAGCUAAAGAAUCUUUUCAGCAUUUUCUUGAAAAUCAUGAAAAAAUGACUUCUACAACUAGAUACAAAAAAGCAUAGCAAAUGUUUGGAGAGAUGGAUGUCUGGAAUGCAAUAUCAGAACGUGAUCGUCUUGAAAUCUAUGAAGACGUUUUGUUUUUUCUUUCAAAAAAAGAAAAGGAACAAGCAAAGCAGUUGCGGAAGAGAAACUGGGAAACCUUAAAAAAUAUACUUGACAAUAUGGCUAAUGCAACAUACUCUACGACACGGUCUGAAGCACAACAAUAUUUGAUGGAUAAUCCAACUUUUGCAGAAGAUGAGGAGUUACAAAACAUGGACAAAGAAGAUGCAUUAAUUUUCUUUGAAGAACACAUUCGGGCUUUAGAAAAAAGAAGAAGAGGAGGAGAAACAGAAAAGCAUGCUGAGAGAAAGGAGACAACAAGGUAAAAAUAGGGAAUCUUUUCAGAUAUUUUUAGAUAAAUUGCAUGAACAUGGACAACUACUUUCUAUGUCAUCUUGGAUGGAAUUGUACCCAACAAUUAGUUCUGACAUUAGAUUCACUAAUAUGCUUGGUCAGCCUGGAUCAACUGUGCUUGAUCGUUUCACGUUUUAUGUUGAGGAUCUUAAAAGCACAUCAUCAUGAUGAGAAGAAGAUAAUAAAAGACAUUCUAAAGGAUAAAGGAUUUGUAGUAGAAGUAAAUACUACUUUUGAAGAUUUCAUGGCAAUAAUCAGUUCAACUAAAAGGUCAACCACAUUAGAUUCUGGAAAUAUUAAACUUGCUUUCAGUAGUUUGCUAGAAAAGGCAGAAGCCCGUGAACAUGAAAGAGAAAAAGAGGAGGCUCGGAAAAUGAAACGCAAAGAGACUGUCUUUAAGAGUAUGUUGAAACAAACUGCUCCUCCAAUAGAAUUAGAUGCUGUUUGGGAAGAUAUCCGAGAGAGAUUUGUAAAAGAGCCUGCAUUUGAAGACAUAAGUCUAGAAUCUGAAAGAAAACGAAUAUUUAAAGAUUUUAUGCAUGUACUUGAGCAUGAAUGUCAACAUCAUCAUUCAAAAAACAAGGAACAUUCUAAGAAAUCUAAGAAACAUCAUAGGAAAUGUUCUCACUCUCGAUCGGGGUCAGAUUCAGAUGAUGACGAUAGCCAUUCAAAGAAGAAAAGACAGCGAUCUGAGUCGCGCUCUGCUUCGGAGCAUUCUUCUAGUGCUGAGUCUGAGAGAAGUUAUAAAAAGUCAAAAAAGCAUAAGAAGAGAAGACAUAAAUCUGACUCUCCAGAAUCAGAUACUGAGCGAGACAAGGACAAAAAAGAAAAGGAUCGUGAAAGUGAAAAGGACAGAAGCAGGCAAAGAUCAGAGUCAAAACACAAAUCACCUAAGACAAAGACUGGAAAGGAUUCUGGUAAUUGGGAUACUUCUGGCAGUGAACUGAGUGAAGGCAAAUUAGAAAAGCGCAGAAGGACCCUUUUUGAGCAACUGGAUGAUGAUCAAUAAAUUAUACCG
RNA transcript from Elephantulus edwardii (Cape elephant shrew), 2659 nucleotides. It is a transcript of the gene named pre-mRNA-processing factor 40 homolog A-like, with no coding region annotated. The transcript has 2 exons. The record is from RefSeq and is a predicted model, not a curated record. NCBI's taxonomy places the organism in Eukaryota, Metazoa, Chordata, Mammalia, Macroscelidea, Macroscelididae.